RNAcentral lists this long non-coding RNA (1034 nucleotides) under Crocodylus porosus (Australian saltwater crocodile). RNAcentral's name for it is "lncRNA (ENSCPRG00005018842.1)". Lineage: Eukaryota; Metazoa; Chordata; Crocodylia; Crocodylidae. The record is from RNAcentral.
UAAAUAUCUUACAGAUGAAAACAAAUCAAAUAUAUAUCGAUGAAGGUAUAAUGGAUUCAUAGUUUGAUUUUUCCUAUUGCCAUGGAAAUUUGGGGAAGCACUAGCCUAAUGGAAAGAAACUAAAUCCCAAAGACUGAAAUGUUUGGUCUUCCUUCAAACCAAGCACACAAAGGAGUGAAUCUGUUUAUACUUUUGUUAGUGGUAAACAUCAUAAGCACAAAUGCUUAUUCAAGCCAAAAAUUAGAGAAUGGUGGUAGAUGAUACAGUAUUGAGGAGUCUCUAAACAAAAAAAAAUGGCGGGUCCUCAGUAUGGUGCACCCCUAUCAGCUACAGCAGGGAGCUGCACUUCUGUUUGAUCCCUGAAUGUCCCCAAAGUUUAUGGGGACUCAGGUAUACCUAAUAAUAAUAUAGCAUAGCAUACGGUUCUCUUCCAGCAAAACUGAAAGCUCUUGGGAUAUUAUUUGAGGGCAGACUUUAAUCUUGACUCUCUGACUUUCUUUAAACCCCUUUAUCAUUGUCUGGCUUAAGGAGUUUUGUAAAAGAAGGCCGGCAUCCGGUGUAAGAAGGGCUCCUCGUUCCAUAGUUUUGGCGCCUGCUUCUGUAGCCCUUCAGCAUGCUGAAGUCUCAGUGAGAACAGCGGAAGAGACUGAUCAGGUAGUAAAACGAAAAGGAGAAACCACACUGCAUAAAUGCCCAGUCACAUUUCACUAUCCUGUGUUUCAUUUAUUUGUAGUGUGUUUUCGGUGUUCAGCCUACACCCAGGCACAGGAUUUAGGCACAGGCAGAGCUAAAGGGAGUCUGAGUAUGAGUGAUGUUAUAUUGGCAAUGAAGAUAACAUUUGUUUUAGGAUUUUUAGAAAAGAUGUAAUAAUUUAAAUAAUAAGCCAGUUUUUCAGCAUCUCAGCUCAAAAAAGAGGUGCCACAAAAAUAAGGAAGUUAGCUUGUAGGACUGCCAUGUGGGGGGUGAGCGCUGACUCAGAUUCUUAGGGUUCAAAACUUCCUUAAGUGGAAUAAAAGCCCAAAUUCCAUUUUCCA